RNAcentral lists this ribosomal RNA (301 nucleotides) under uncultured bacterium. Its description in RNAcentral is "partial 16S ribosomal RNA". It matches the Rfam family "Bacterial small subunit ribosomal RNA", at positions 509 to 807 of the family's 1533-position model. The record is from RNAcentral.
CAGCAGCCGCGGUAAAACGGAGGGGGCUAGCGUUGUUCGGAAUUACUGGGCGUAAAGCGCACGUAGGCGGCUUGGUAAGUUAGAGGUGAAAGCCUGGAGCUCAACUCCAGAAUUGCCUUUAAGACUGCCGAGCUAGCAGGUGAGAGAGGUAAGUGGAAUUCCGAGUGUAGAGGUGAAAUUCGUAGAUAUUCGGAAGAACACCAGUGGCGAAGGCGGCUUACUGGCUCAUACUGGACGCUGAGGCACGAAAGCGUGGGGAGCAAACAGGAUUAGAGACCCCCGUAGUCCCUGUCUCUUAUAC